GACGAACGCUGGCGGCGUGCCUAAUACAUGCAAGUAGAACGCACAGGAUGCACCGUAGUUUACUACACCGUAUUCUGUGAGUUGCGAACGGGUGAGUAACGCGUAGGUAACCUGCCUGGUAGCGGGGGAUAACUAUUGGAAACGAUAGCUAAUACCGCAUAAGAACAUUUACUGCAUGGUAGAUGUUUAAAAGGUGCAAAUGCAUCACUACCAGAUGGACCUGCGUUGUAUUAGCUAGUAGGUGAGGUAACGGCUCACCUAGGCGACGAUACAUAGCCGACCUGAGAGGGUGAUCGGCCACACUGGGACUGAGACACGGCCCAGACUCCUACGGGAGGCAGCAGUAGGGAAUCUUCGGCAAUGGGGGGAACCCUGACCGAGCAACGCCGCGUGAGUGAAGAAGGUUUUCGGAUCGUAAAGCUCUGUUGUUAAGGAAGAACGAGUGUGAGAAUGGAAAGUUCAUACUGUGACGGUACUUAACCAGAAAGGGGCGGCUAACUACGUGCCAGCAGCCGCGGUAAUACGUAGGUCCCGAGCGUUGUCCGGAUUUAUUGGGCGUAAAGCGAGCGCAGGCGGUUAGAUAAGUCUGAAGUUAAAGGCAGUGGCUCAACCAUUGUAGGCUUUGGAAACUGUUUAACUUGAGUGCAGAAGGGGAGAGUGGAAUUCCAUGUGUAGCGGUGAAAUGCGUAGAUAUAUGGAGGAACACCGGUGGCGAAAGCGGCUCUCUGGUCUGUAACUGACGCUGAGGCUCGAAAGCGUGGGGAGCGAACAGG
Molecule: ribosomal RNA, 773 nt
Filed under: uncultured Streptococcus sp.
Lineage: Bacteria; Bacillati; Bacillota; Bacilli; Lactobacillales; Streptococcaceae
Description: bacterial SSU rRNA
Rfam family: Bacterial small subunit ribosomal RNA
Source: RNAcentral